This 1268-nucleotide long non-coding RNA is filed under the name Sus scrofa (pig). RNAcentral's name for it is "lncRNA (ENSSSCG00015004691.1)". Lineage: Eukaryota; Metazoa; Chordata; Mammalia; Artiodactyla; Suidae. The record is from RNAcentral.
UUUUGGUAUAUAUUUAUUUAUUUACUUUUUGUCUUUUUAUCUUUUUAGGGCUGCAAUCACAGCAUAUGGAGGUUCCCAGGCUAGGGGGGUCCAAUUGGAGCUACAGCUGCCAGCCUACGCCAGAUGGCCCAAGAAAUGGCAAAAAGACAGGAAAAAAAAACAAACAAACAAACAAACAAAAAACUUUUUCAUGACAAUGGCAUUCCAUCAGAAAAAAGUGCCUAAUUCUUCUAAUAUUUUUCUUCUUGCUCUUUUAGCUAUUUUUCAUUUUUUGCUAUUAUAUCACAUUAUGAUGAAUUUUUUAUGCACAUAUAUUUUUGCCUAUAUUUAAUUAUUUCUUUAAAUUAGCAUUAGAAAGCUCCUGAGGAUUAAGUUAUUGAGUUAAAAAUAUUAGAAAAUAUAUUAAAACAAUGUAUAUUGUAACAUUACUCUUGAUAAUUUUCUCUGCCAAUAUAGUUUCUCCAAAAAUGACCAAAAGUACUUAAAAAAAAAAACCCUAGAAUAUUUUUCAAACAUGGAAGGCUUUAAUUUAAAGAAAAGGUAUUAGAGAUGGGAUUAAGAUGGCUGAAGAGAAGGACUGGAGCUCAACUUCUCUCUUAAAAACAACAAAACUUACAACCAAAUGCUGAGCAAUCUUCAACCAAAUGGACUGUAAACUUUCAAAAAGAUAUACUACUCCAGAAGACAAAGAUGAGGCCACAUCAAGAGGUAGGAGGGGUGAUUACAUGAUAUAAGCAACCCCAUACCUCCCGGGUGGGAAGCCCCACAGACUGGAAAGUAACUGGUUUACAGAGAGUCACCUACAGAAGUGAGAGUUCUGAGCCUCACAUCAAACUGCCACACAUGGGGAUCUGGCACUGGGAGAAAGAGCCCCUGGAGCAUCUGGCAUUGAAGGCCAGUGAGGCUAAUGUGCAGGAGCUCCACGGGACUGGGGGAAAUGGAGACCCCAUUCUUAAAAGGCCCACACAGACUUUCAUGUGCACUGGGUACUAGGGCAAAGCUAAGUCUCCACAGGAAUCUGGAUCAGACCUGCCUGCAGUUCUUGGAGGACCUCCUGGGAAAACAGGGGUGAAUGUGGCUUGUAGGGGAAGGACAUUGGAAGCAAAGCUUUUGAGAAUACUCCUCAGUGUGCCUUUCUCUGGAGGUGGCCAUUUUGGGAAAAUGUGGCCCCAGCCAUCAGUGCUGAGAAGCCCCAGGCCAGACAACAAUCCAGGUGGGAUCACAGACCCACCUCUCAGUAAACAGCCUGCCUAAACAACCCCCCCCCC